GGAGAUGUGCCGGAGCGGUUGAUCGGGCUGGUCCUGAAAACCAGUAUAGUCGCAAGGCUAUCAGAGGUUCGAAUCCUCUCAUCUCCGCAA
RNAcentral lists this transfer RNA (90 nucleotides) under Candidatus Roizmanbacteria bacterium CG_4_9_14_0_2_um_filter_35_15. RNAcentral describes it as "tRNA-Ser". It matches the Rfam family "tRNA". Rfam says of the family: Transfer RNA (tRNA) molecules are approximately 80 nucleotides in length. Their secondary structure includes four short double-helical elements and three loops (D, anti-codon, and T loops). The record is from RNAcentral. RNAcentral also lists the same sequence under 2 other names. Lineage: Bacteria; Candidatus Roizmaniibacteriota.